This 499-nucleotide ribosomal RNA is filed under the name uncultured bacterium. RNAcentral's name for it is "bacterial SSU rRNA". It matches the Rfam family "Bacterial small subunit ribosomal RNA", at positions 28 to 524 of the family's 1533-position model. The record is from RNAcentral.
GAUGAACGCUAGCGGGAGGCCUAAUACAUGCAAGUCGAGCGGUAGGACCCUUUCGGGGGUUUGAGAGCGGCGUACGGGUGAGUAACGCGUACACAAUCUACCUUCAAGCGGGGAAUAGCCCUGGGAAACUGGGAUUAAUGCCCCAUAGGAUUACGGGACGGCAUCGCCCUGUAAUUAAAGCUCCGGUGUUUGAAGAUGAGUGUGCGUCUGAUUAGCUAGUUGGUAGGGUAACGGCCUACCAAGGCUACGAUCAGUAGGGGGCGUGAGAGCGUGGACCCCCACACGGGUACUGAGACACGGACCCGACUCCUACGGGAGGCAGCAGUAAGGAAUAUUGGUCAAUGGAGGAAACUCUGAACCAGCCAUCCCGCGUGCAGGAAGACGGCCCUCUGGGGUUGUAAACUGCUUUUAUCUGGGAAGAAAAGCCGACAUUCAUGUUGGUCUGACGGUACCAGAGGGAAUAAGCACCGGCUAACUCCGUGCCAGCAGCCGCGGUAAU